UUGCUCACCACUGUAUCCUGGCAGGUAGUACUUGACUACCAACUGUCAUGCAUGACAUAGUGGUUACAAGCACUAGCUCUGUCGCUAGGCUGUCUAAAUUCGAACCCAGACUCCUGCCACUGAACACCUAACACCUUUAGCAGUUUCCUUAACCUCUCUUGCUUCACUUUUCUGAUGGGUAAAGUGGGUAGACUGUCUUUAUCUC
This 205-nucleotide long non-coding RNA is filed under the name Homo sapiens (human). RNAcentral describes it as "non-protein coding lnc-ECI2-7:1". The record is from RNAcentral. Lineage: Eukaryota; Metazoa; Chordata; Mammalia; Primates; Hominidae.